AUGAAACCAUUGACUUCGAUG
Molecule: small nuclear RNA, 21 nt
Filed under: Arabidopsis thaliana (thale cress)
Lineage: Eukaryota; Viridiplantae; Streptophyta; Magnoliopsida; Brassicales; Brassicaceae
Description: snRNA_11679
Source: RNAcentral